RNAcentral lists this long non-coding RNA (245 nucleotides) under Erythranthe guttata (spotted monkey flower). RNAcentral's name for it is "long non-coding RNA (EGUT_LNC003686)". Lineage: Eukaryota; Viridiplantae; Streptophyta; Magnoliopsida; Lamiales; Phrymaceae. The record is from RNAcentral.
AACCAACGCCUCCAUGUCUCUUUCUCUCAUCACCGUGUCGUUGCCCCGCCCAUCAAGCCGAUUAGCAAUUAUUCUCGGUUCGAAAUCCAACUCAAGGACGGUGUUCCAAAUCAAACUUGAGGUCGUCGUCGUUGCCGAUAAUUUUUUUUCCAUGCAUAAAGGUGACGCAGGCAACGUCUUCUUCGACAAAAGAUUCGCCAUCUUCAGAGAAAGUCGUCAGCGAAAGAAUUGAGGCUGGAUCGGCG